UGAUUUGCAGCCCUUGCUGCUUGCUUCUAUGUCUGUCUCUGUAGGAGAGGUUGGCUCCUUGGUAACUGACACUGCUGAAUUUCCAACUGUAAGCUCUGUGCUGAGCUGGUUUGUUUCCUGGCAUUUUCAGUUCAGAAGUACAGCUUCUAGGGCUAUUUGACUGAACCACAUGAAAUUGCUGUUUUUUCCCAACCAUCAGAACUCAAACUCCAGACUUGAGAAUGGACUACGCUGGCAGCAUCGGGAGUAGGGACAUGGACAACUUGAAUCCAGAAUAUGAUUUGAAAAAUGAAUUAUUUAAAUCAGAGAUAAUAAGAUAUGCACUUUCUGAUAGCCUCAGAAAUGUGCACUGUGCUUUGAUGCGUCAAAGAAACUGUCUGCUGAAACAAGAGGAGGAAGUUGUCGAGAGGAGAAUGAUGGUAAAACAUCUGCGAUUAAGACAAGAGUUGUUGGCAUCAAAAAUUUUCCAUAUGAAAAUGGAAAACUUAGAUAGCAAUUUGGUACAUUGGUGGAAGAACCCAAUAAAAAGGAAAAGUAUUUUGGAGAAAAAGAUAGACUUCAUCCCAUCAUCAUUUGAAGGCCCUGGUGUCUUGAAUAAAGCUAAAUCGAAUCCUGUCGUCUGCAGUUUCCAUGACUUAUGGAUGGGAUACAAGGGAGAACAGGGGAAAGAUGCUUUUGACUGGCCAAUAAAGACAAGUUACAAUAAAGUUCAAAAGGAAAGAGAUUCUUCGGACAAUGAAGUGACAUUCCUUCAUUCAGAAUUGUUUCAAGCUAACUUUACUCUCAAACAGCUUGAAAAAGCAAACACCAAACUUCAGUCAAAGCUGUUAGCUAACAGAACAAUAAAUGAGAAUCUGUCCUUGCAACUGGCGUUUCUAAAACCAGAUCUCCAGUCCUCUGAGAAAAACAUCAAAGUUCUUGAAGAUGAAAAGAGAAAGCUAACUCUGAUGAUUAAAAGUCUUAAGGAAGAAAGAGAGCAACUUCUUUCCCAAAAAGAUUUGCUGAUAAAAGCCUUGACAACGCAGAAAGGGUGCAUAAACUUUGUCUGCAAUUAAUGGGGUUGCUUUCCUCUCCUGUGUUCCAGACUGUUGGUAUUUUUCCUCAGUUGUAGCUUGUUUCCAAUAAACAAUAUUUUAUUGAUAUGUUCUACUGAUGUACAAGAAGUAGUGGCGUGCUAGACUUUGCUAAAGGGUUAUAAAUUGUGGAAGGCGGUGACAAAUAUAUUCCUAAU
Molecule: long non-coding RNA, 1231 nt
Filed under: Dasypus novemcinctus (nine-banded armadillo)
Lineage: Eukaryota; Metazoa; Chordata; Mammalia; Cingulata; Dasypodidae
Description: lncRNA (ENSDNOG00000051884.1)
Source: RNAcentral